RNAcentral lists this microRNA precursor (86 nucleotides) under Canis lupus dingo (dingo). RNAcentral's name for it is "mir-8799 microRNA precursor family". It matches the Rfam family "mir-8799 microRNA precursor family". Lineage: Eukaryota; Metazoa; Chordata; Mammalia; Carnivora; Canidae. The record is from Rfam by way of RNAcentral.
CGGGGUAGGCCGGAUCCUGGGCUGUGUCUCGGCGCCCUGUGCUCCGGGGCUGCGCUGUUGGAUUCUCUCCCGCCCCGCAGCCCCCU